Thalassophryne amazonica is the source of this 112-nucleotide long non-coding RNA. RefSeq lists it as uncharacterized. Lineage: Eukaryota; Metazoa; Chordata; Actinopteri; Batrachoidiformes; Batrachoididae. The record is from RefSeq and is a predicted model, not a curated record. The transcript has 3 exons.
UUUCAUGUACCAUUUUGAGAAUGGAGUGCAUUUACACAAUGCCACAAAACCCCCCCCAAGAAGUAGGCAGGAGUGGACUGUGAGAGGCAGAAAAAAAAGUAGGUUUAUAUAG